This 69-nucleotide transfer RNA is filed under the name Ovis aries (sheep). It matches the Rfam family "tRNA". Rfam says of the family: Transfer RNA (tRNA) molecules are approximately 80 nucleotides in length. Lineage: Eukaryota; Metazoa; Chordata; Mammalia; Artiodactyla; Bovidae. The record is from Rfam by way of RNAcentral.
CCUGGUGGCCUAGAGGUUAAAGCGUCUGCCUGCAAUGCGGGAGACCUGGGUUCGAUCCCUGGGUCAGGA